CGAAUGGAGCAUGAACCAGUCGAAGCGACGAGCUGGCUGCAACUGUUUAAUAAAAACACAGCACUCUGCAAACACGAAAGUGGACGUAUAGGGUGUGAUGCCUGCCCGGUGCUGGAAGGUUAAUUGAUGGUGUUAUCGAAAGAGAAGCACCUGAUCGAAGCCCCAGUAAACGGCGGCCGUAACUAUAACGGUCCUAAGGUAGCGAAAUUCCUUGUCGGGUAAGUUCCGACCUGCACGAAUGGCAUAAUGAUGGCCAGGCUGUCUCCACCCGAGACUCAGUGAAAUUGAAAUCGCCGUGAAGAUGCGGUGUACCCGCGGCUAGACGGAAAGACCCCGUGAACCUUUACUAUAGCUUGACACUGAACCUUGAAUUUUAAUGUGUAGGAUAGGUGGGAGACUAAGAAGCGGUAACGCCAGUUAUCGUGGAGUCGAUGUUGAAAUACCACCCUUUAACGUUUGAUGUUCUAACGAGGCGCCUGGGACAGGUGUUCGGACAGUGUCUGGUGGGUAGUUUGACUGGGGCGGUCUCCUCCCAAAGCGUAACGGAGGAGCACGAAGGUUGGCUAAUGACGGUCGGACAUCGUCAGGUUAGUGCAAUGGUAGAAGCCAGCUUAACUGCGAGACGGACAAGUCGAGCAGGUACGAAAGUAGGUCAUAGUGAUCCGGUGGUUCUGAAUGGAAGGGCCAUCGCUCAACGGAUAAAAGGUACUCCGGGGAUAACAGGCUGAUACCGCCCAAGAGUUCAUAUCGACGGCGGUGUUUGGCACCUCGAUGUCGGCUCAUCACAUCCUGGGGCUGAAGUAGGUCCCAAGGGUAUGGCUGUUCGCCAUUUAAAGUGGUACGCGAGCUGGGUUUAGAACGUCGUGAGACAGUUCGGUCCCUAUCUGCCGUGGGCGUUGGAGGAUUGAGGGGGGUUGCUCCUAGUACGAGAGGACCGGAGUGAACGCACCGCUGGUGUUCCAGUUGUUUCGCCAGAAGCAUAGCUGGGUAGCUAAGUGCGGAAGAGAUAAGUGCUGAAAGCAUCUAAGCACGAAACUUGCCCCGAGAUGAGUUCUCCCAGUCUAAGAGACUGUAAGGGUUGUUGAAGACGACGACGUAGAUAGGUGGGGUGUGUAAGCGGUGUGAGCCGUUGAGCUAACCCAUACUAAUUGCCCGAGAGGCUUAACUAUACAACGCUGAAGGGUUUU
RNAcentral lists this ribosomal RNA (1187 nucleotides) under Gallibacterium anatis. RNAcentral's name for it is "bacterial LSU rRNA". It matches the Rfam family "Bacterial large subunit ribosomal RNA", at positions 1761 to 2925 of the family's 2925-position model. Lineage: Bacteria; Pseudomonadati; Pseudomonadota; Gammaproteobacteria; Pasteurellales; Pasteurellaceae. The record is from RNAcentral.